Molecule: ribosomal RNA, 253 nt
Filed under: uncultured bacterium
Lineage: Bacteria
Description: partial 16S ribosomal RNA
Rfam family: Bacterial small subunit ribosomal RNA
Source: RNAcentral
UACGAAGGGGGCUAGCGUUGUUCGGAAUUACUGGGCGUAAAGCGCACGCAGGCGGCUCGUUGAAUUAGAAGUGAAAGCCCCGGGCUCAACCUGGGAAUUGCUUUUAAGACUGGCGAGCUAGAAUUCAGAAGAGGGUAGUGGAAUUCCCAGUGUAGAGGUGAAAUUCGUAGAUAUUGGGAAGAACACCAGUGGCGAAGGCGACUGCCUGGUCUGACAUUGACGCUCAUGUGCGAAAGCGUGGGGAGCAAACAGG